GCGUUGCUGGUGUAACGGUUAUCACAUAGGCCUACCAAGUCUGGAAUUCGGGUUCAAUUCCCGAGUAACGCA
Tritrichomonas musculus is the source of this 72-nucleotide non-coding RNA. Lineage: Eukaryota; Parabasalia; Tritrichomonadida; Tritrichomonadidae. The record is from the annotation of a GenBank genome assembly.